Molecule: ribosomal RNA, 825 nt
Filed under: Triticum aestivum (bread wheat)
Lineage: Eukaryota; Viridiplantae; Streptophyta; Magnoliopsida; Poales; Poaceae
Description: partial small subunit ribosomal RNA
Source: RNAcentral
AUGAUUCCAGGACCUGGAAUCAUACCGGCCGAUGGGUGGUGGUUUAUCUCUCGUUCAGCUGACGGUGGUCAUUUGAUGCUCAUCUUCACGUACCAAAUUGACCAAAACAUUUCAUCAAACCACAUGCAGUACAAUGCCUGGGGUUCGAAGAAGGAUUGGCCAGUGCUGCCGGACGGUGUCAAGUUCGAUCCCACGGAUAAGGAGCUGAUCGAGCACCUUGAGGCCAAAGUGAGUGCUGACAGCGUGAGAUCUCAACCUCUCAUCGAUUUGUUCAUACCAACCAUUGACAGCGAGCACGGCAUAUGCUACACCCAUCCAGAGAAAUUUCCAGGUAUCACACUAAGUGGCCUAAGCAAGCAUUUCUUCCAGCGCAAUUCGAGGGUGUUCAAAAGGGGCACGUGGACGCGUCGCAAGAUACAGUCGGAGUGCGGCAUGCACGCGAUGUGGCACAACACCGGCAAUACCUUGCCGGUGAUGGCCAACGGCCGGCAGACGGGCAGCAAAAAGGUUCUGGUGCUGCACACCAACAAGAACUUCAACCAGCAGAGGACCAACAGGGUGAUGCACCAGUACCACCUCGGGGACCUGGAGAAAGAGAAGGAGCGGGAGCUGGUCCUCUGCAAGAUUUUCUACCAGACGAACACUAGGGCCAGGAGUAAAAAGAUUAUAAGUCGAGCAAGUUUCAACUGGGCUGUAGACUGCCCAGGCUUGGUUUUGUUUUUAACAGGCCCAGCCCAUGACGACAAUGGGGCACAAAGAUCCAGCAGCGCAGAUUCUUUUUACCACUGGUUUUCCCUUAAACCAACUCAAUUGUCCCACGUCUGA